UACGAAGGGUGCAAGCGUUAAUCGGAAUUACUGGGCGUAAAGCGCGCGUAGGUGGUUCAGUAAGUUAGGAGUGAAAGCCCCGGGCUUAACCUGGGAGUUGCUUCUAAAACUGCUGAGCUAGAGUACGGUAGAGGGUGGUGGAAUUUUCUGUGUAGCGGUGAAAUGCGUAGAUAUAGGAAGGAACAGCAGUGGCGAAGGCGACCACCUGGACUGAUACUGACACUGAGGUGCGAAAGCGUGGGGAGGAAACAGG
RNAcentral lists this ribosomal RNA (253 nucleotides) under uncultured bacterium. RNAcentral describes it as "partial 16S ribosomal RNA". It matches the Rfam family "Bacterial small subunit ribosomal RNA", at positions 524 to 776 of the family's 1533-position model. The record is from RNAcentral.